ACUCCACCUCCAACCUGAAGAAGCAUCUUCAAGAGGAAGAUCAACAAGCUUUGGCUGUCAGAAGGAAAUGCUUUGCACUCUGUGGGAUGUUUUGGAAGCAGAGGAGGAAAUGUGGCCGGCUUCCUCUGUACCAGAUGUGAAUCCAUGUCAUCUGAGGUCAUAUCUGGAGCCUGGCUAGUCCAUCUUCUGUCUGAUUUCUAAUUUAAAUGAACCCAUGUGGGAACCUGGGGUGCUUCUGAUGAUGUAUAUGUCAGAGAACUCUGAAUAAGGAGCAUGUACUAGAACUGUAAUCAGUCCCCUGCUUUUUUUAAAGAGAUCGUGGAAAAUGCAGCAAGCAGAAAAGGAUGUAGUAAAAUGCUAUCACACUACACUGUAGACCAAAUCAUUAUACAACCGUAAUAGGCAGGCAUAGGCAGUAUUCGGAGUUGUCAAGGGAGGCAGUUGCCUGGGAGCAGCAAAGUGCAAUUUUAUUUAUCAUUACGUUUCAAGGCAGUUUGUUUCCUUCCAAUCUCUCAGCCCUUUAGGAUGGAAAAUUAAAUAAUAUCCCUCAAGUAUUGAUGAAACACUGCACUUUGGAAAUGGCCCAAGUACACCAUUGCCCCCCAGAGGGAUGGGCAAUCACUAAGUCAAGAACAGUGAGUGAUGAUGUACAAACAAGGAGCAUUUAGAAAGAAACGGUCAGAUGUACAGUUUAGAAUAAAUGGAGUCAAAGAAGAAACAUAAUUAUUAAGGCAACAGUAUGUUGGUAUUAUUUUUUUCUGUUUACUAGUUAGCACUUAAUGAUUUAGAAGAAUAUACAGGUUUUUCACUGAGAGUUAGCAGAAGUAACCCAUACAUUGCUUGGUGCAUUUCCAAAAUCAAAGGAUCAUGUUAAUAAAAAGUGAUUGGACUUGAAGAAUCAGGGCUGUCAACAGUCACAAAGCAUCGCAGAACACAAUGUAGAUCUAAAACGUAGUGAGAGAACAAGAAAAAAAACAUUGGUGGUAGACUUAUAGUCGGGGCCUUUGUACAGAAUCUUUAUUAUCAAUAACACUACAAGAUUCAAGGCUCCAUUAAAGAAAAAUUUAAAUACAAUAAAAUAAGUCAAUGACAAAUCUAAGAUGCA
Long non-coding RNA from Perca fluviatilis (European perch), 1105 nucleotides. RefSeq lists it as uncharacterized. Lineage: Eukaryota; Metazoa; Chordata; Actinopteri; Perciformes; Percidae. The transcript is spliced from 3 exons. The record is from RefSeq and is a predicted model, not a curated record.